Molecule: ribosomal RNA, 254 nt
Filed under: uncultured bacterium
Lineage: Bacteria
Description: partial 16S ribosomal RNA
Rfam family: Bacterial small subunit ribosomal RNA
Source: RNAcentral
CACGUAGGGUGCGAGCGUUGUCCGGAAUUAUUGGGCGUAAAGAGCUCGUAGGCGGUGUGUCGCGUCGGCCGUGAAAACCUGCAGCUUAACUGUGGGCUUGCGGUCGAUACGGGCAUCACUGGAGUUCGGCAGGGGAGACUGGAAUUCCUGGUGUAGCGGUGAAAUGCGCAGAUAUCAGGAGGAACACCGGUGGCGAAGGCGGGUCUCUGGGCAACUACUGACGCUGAGGAGCGAAAGCGUGGGGAGCGAACAGG